CACACCUCUUCUCCAAAGCUCUCCCAUCGAUCUCUUACGCCCACCCAUCCCCGACCAGCGCCCACCCCACCUAUCCCAGAUCGGCGCCCAACCCAGCAGCAGCAGUAGGAGGUCGCAGUGCCGCACCAGCAGCAGCAGAGGGCUGCAACAGCAAUAUUGGGCUACUGAGGAAGCUCAACGUUUUAAAAAGUUGAUACAGGACUGUACUGCUUCUUUCAUCAAAGUAGGAUAUAAGGAUGGGAGAACUGCAGGUGGAAAAACAUGUUAAGUACAUUUUAGCCGUUGAAAAGAGAAAAGAUAACUUUGAAUCUGUGGUGAUGGAGCAUUUGAGGUUAAAUGGGGCAUAUUGGGGAUUAACAACUCUUGAUAUUUUGGGAAAACUUGAUGCUGUGGAUCAAGAUGAAGUUAUUUCAUGGGUCAUGCAGUGCCAACACGAAGAUGGUGGAUUUGGUGGUAAUAUUGGUCAUGAUCCACAUAUGCUGUAUACACUUAGUGCAAUUCAAGUACUGGCCCUAUUUGAUAAACUACAUGUUCUUGACGUUGAUAAGGUGUCAAGUUAUAUCGCAGGCCUACAAAAUGAAGACGGAUCCUUUCCUGGUGACAUGUGGGGAGAAGUUGAUACACGGUUUUCUUACAUUGCAAUCUGUUCUCUGGCAUUGCUGCGCCAGUUGAAUAAAAUUGAUGUUGGAAAAGCAGUGAAAUAUAUUGUAA
RNAcentral lists this unclassified non-coding RNA (711 nucleotides) under Hevea brasiliensis (rubber tree). Lineage: Eukaryota; Viridiplantae; Streptophyta; Magnoliopsida; Malpighiales; Euphorbiaceae. The record is from RNAcentral.